ACGGGAGGCAGCAGUGGGGAAUAUUGGGCAAUGGGCGCAAGCCUGACCCAGCGGCGCCGCGUGAGGGAAGAAGGUCUUCGGAUUGUAAACCUCUUUCAGCAGGGAAGACAAAAGGACAGUACCUGCAGAAGAAGUCACGGCUAACUACGUGCCAGCAGCCGCGGUAAUACGUAGGUGGCGAGCGUUAUCCGGAAUUACUGGGUGUAAAGGGUGUGUAGGCGGAGGAGCAAGUCAGGCGUGAAAUGCCAGGGCUCAACCCUGGAAUUGCGCUUGAAACUGUUCCCCUUGAGAGUGGGAGAGGUAAACGGAAUUCCUGGUGUAGUAGUGAAAUGCGUAGAUAUCAGGAGGAACACCGGUGGCGAAGGCGGUUUACUGGACCACAACUGACGCUGAGACACGAAAGCGUGGGGAGCAAACAGGAUUAGAUACCCUGGUA
RNAcentral lists this ribosomal RNA (436 nucleotides) under uncultured Oscillospiraceae bacterium. RNAcentral's name for it is "partial 16S ribosomal RNA". It matches the Rfam family "Bacterial small subunit ribosomal RNA", at positions 341 to 792 of the family's 1533-position model. The record is from RNAcentral. Lineage: Bacteria; Bacillati; Bacillota; Clostridia; Eubacteriales; Oscillospiraceae.